GGAAGUAAAAGUCGUAACAAGGAAUGCGGUCUGGAACCUCUCGGGGUUACAGCCUUGCUGAAUUAUUCACCCUUGUCUUUUGCGUACUUCUUGUUUCCUUGGUGGGUUCGCCCACCACUAGGACAAACAUAAACCUUUUGUAAUUGCAAUCAGCGUCAGUAACAAAUUAAUAAUUACAACUUUCAACAACGGAUCUCUUGGUUCUGGCAUCGAUGAAGAACGCAGCGAAAUGCGAUAAGUAGUGUGAAUUGCAGAAUUCAGUGAAUCAUCGAAUCUUUGAACGCACAUUGCGCCCUUUGGUAUUCCAAAGGGCAUGCCUGUUCGAGCGUCAUUUGUACCCUCAAGCUUUGCUUGGUGUUGGGCGUCUUGUCUCUAGCUUUGCUGGAGACUCGCCUUAAAGUAAUUGGCAGCCGGCCUACUGGUUUCGGAGCGCAGCACAAGUCGCACUCUCUAUCAGCAAAGGUCUAGCAUCCAUUAAGCCUUUUUUCCAACUUUUGACCUCGGAUCAGGUAGGGAUACCCGCUGAACUUAAGCAUAUCAAUAAGCGGAGGA
RNAcentral lists this ribosomal RNA (552 nucleotides) under Alternaria alternata. RNAcentral describes it as "eukaryotic LSU rRNA". The stretch from base 178 to 331 matches the Rfam family "5.8S ribosomal RNA". The record is from RNAcentral. Lineage: Eukaryota; Fungi; Ascomycota; Dothideomycetes; Pleosporales; Pleosporaceae.